CUGAGUUCCUGGAAGCACCAGAAACAUCUGCUGGUAAACGGGGUAUUUAUUUUGCGUAUGUUUUACAGUCACUUCUCUAUAUACCCCGGUUUUACCUCUCCCUCCCACCUCCCAACGUCAGAAGCGCCUUGAGGGCAGGAACCGCCUAGGUUUAGGCUCCGUACCCCCUGCGCUAGCCCACGCUGUAGGUGCUGAACAGAGGCCAGGUUAAGGCUGGGUGAAUUGGACUGGCUUGUGCGCCUGCGCGCCAGCCCCAAGACUACAAUUCCUAGCACCGAGGAACUCUCGGGGUCCGAUGGACCCUAGGAAGGUCCACGCUGACUCUGAGCAGGCGCAGUUGGGGAGAUGUCUAUUUCAACCCUUUUCCUCGGGAUUUAGGUGGAGGUGGAGCGACGCUGUCCGCCACGUGGGGCUGCCAUCUUGAGACUCUACCCUUUACCAAAAAGGGAGAAUUGAAGAGGAAGUGACUUCUGGACUCCUAAGAGCCUUAUCUCAGAAAUUGCUGACAUUCCAAGAUGUUGCUGUGGAAUUCACCCAGGAAGAAUGGAAUUAUUUGGAUCCUGGCCAGAAGGACAUGUACAGGGAUGUGAUGCUGGAGAACUAUGAAAACUUUGUCUCUCUUGGUAAAUGAAGUAGGAGAUGGAAUGGGCUAGGCCACAAAGGUUUGAAGAACUACCAGAGGUCCAGUGACAGAGCCCAGGAAGAAGCCAGCCAUGAGAAGCAACCUGCUUGACUAUGUCCAGCACCGAAUCUGUCUAGAAGCUGAGAUGCUUUGCCCUGAAAGCAAGGGAGCUGGUCCCCGAUGGCUACAGUGCAUAGAGAUAUAGAACAUAGUGGUGGAACUUAUAGAACAUAUACAACUUAGUGGGGAAAUAUUUUUUAAUCACCACUUUAAAUUUGUGUCUGCUCUGUACAGGGACUGAGAGAAUAUGCAAAAGGGAGAGAGCAUCCCUCACCAUGUUUUGGUGCUUGAUAUAUCUUUCCAGUAAAUAUCCCUUUGUAAGAACUAAUGGAUGUUAAUUGGUCCUCAAUGUACUGGUCAGAUGAUAUUGCGGCAAAGAUCAUUGGUAAUUUAUAUUAGGGAGAAAUCCCUAGAAUGGGAAAUCAAGCCAAUAAUAUUAGAAGAAUUGUGCUGAAUCCCUCAAGAUAGCCCUAGAACUCUGAGGAGACAAAGCUGCCCUCUAAAAAUCCAAGUUGCCAAAUGAGAGUGCUACUUGGGAUAAGAUAAAUGGACAUUCAUUUAGUUAGGAGCAGGAAAGAAUAAAACAAAAGACAGAAAAACAGCAGCACCAUGCCUAUAUGGCUUUC
Non-coding RNA from Phascolarctos cinereus (koala), 1308 nucleotides. NCBI's taxonomy places the organism in Eukaryota, Metazoa, Chordata, Mammalia, Diprotodontia, Phascolarctidae. The record is from RefSeq and is a predicted model, not a curated record.